RNAcentral lists this ribosomal RNA (539 nucleotides) under uncultured Geobacteraceae bacterium. RNAcentral's name for it is "bacterial SSU rRNA". It matches the Rfam family "Bacterial small subunit ribosomal RNA", at positions 9 to 526 of the family's 1533-position model. Lineage: Bacteria; Pseudomonadati; Thermodesulfobacteriota; Desulfuromonadia; Geobacterales; Geobacteraceae. The record is from RNAcentral.
GAGUUUGAUCCUGGCUCAGAACGAACGCUGGCGGCGUGCUUAACACAUGCAAGUCGAACGUGAUCCAGAGCUUGCUCUGGUGAAAGUGGCGCACGGGUGAGUAACGCGUGGAUAACCUGCCCUGGUAUCUGGGAUAACAUCUCGAAAGGGGUGCUAAUACCGGAUAAGCCUACGGGGUCCUCGGACUCUGCAGGAAAAGGUGGCCUCUAUUUAUAAGCUACCGUAUCAGGAUGGGUCCGCGUACCAUUAGCUAGUUGGUGGGGUAAUGGCCCACCAAGGCGACGAUGGUUAGCUGGUYUGAGAGGAUGAUCAGCCACACUGGAACUGAGACACGGUCCAGACUCCUACGGGAGGCAGCAGUGGGGAAUUUUGCGCAAUGGGGGAAACCCUGACGCAGCAACGCCGCGUGAGUGAUGAAGGCUUUCGGGUCGUAAAGCUCUGUCAGAGGGGAAGAAAUGAGUCUGGCUAAUAUCCAGAUUUCUUGACGGUACCCUCAAAGGAAGCACCGGCUAACUCCGUGCCAGCAGCCGCGGUAAUAC